UACGAAGGGGGCUAGCGUUGCUCGGAAUGACUGGGCGUAAAGGGCGCGUAGGCGGCGAUCAAGGUCAGAUGUGAAAUUCCUGGGCUUAACCUGGGGGCUGCAUUUGAUACGUGGUGGCUUGAGUGCGGAAGAGGGGGGUGGAACUGCGAGUGUAGAGGUGAAAUUCGUAGAUAUUCGCAAGAACACCAGUGGCGAAGGCGGCUCACUGGCCCGGUACUGACGCUGAGGUGCGAAAGCGUGGGAGCAAACAGG
This 252-nucleotide ribosomal RNA is filed under the name uncultured bacterium. Its description in RNAcentral is "partial 16S ribosomal RNA". It matches the Rfam family "Bacterial small subunit ribosomal RNA", at positions 524 to 776 of the family's 1533-position model. The record is from RNAcentral.